ACCACCAGUUACCGACCACCCUGUAUAUAGUAAAACUAUCGAUUCAGAUCUGAAUCUCUUUUCAAUUACACAAAUAGACUUUGUUUCCUCUGAAUCGGAGCACGUCCCUUUUAUCUUUAUACUUUUUGAACAUUUUUCUUAAAAUAAAGAAGUUUCGAAGCAGCAGAACACAUCCACUUUACCCGAGGUAGCAAACCAAAGAGGAAAGUGUCUGCGGCAUCCAUGUUAAAGCAAACAGCGCAGCGGCUGAACGUUCGGGAUCCAUCGCGGAAACGGGUCCGGUUUUCCUUCUGGGAGUCAGAGAUUUCAAGAGAUAAGUUGACAGGUUACGUCGCUGCGACGCGAUUCCAGUUUUUCCGGGGCUGCGCACAAAGAUAACGCGGCAGAGUUUUCGUACGAUCGUUCCACGACAGUGAACAAAAUUACCGGCAAUCGGAGAGCGAACGUUCCUCGUCUUUUGUCGAGAUCCAUUGGACGUUUGCCUUCGUUGGAGAUUUUUCAGGAUUUACACCUGCGAGUCGAUGUAAAAAGCGAGGUAAAACUAUGUCCGCGCGAAAUUCAUUAUCGCGUGCUUGGAAUCUCCGAAAAUCGUGCAAGCCAGCAUUGUGAGCAGCCAGACAAACAAACGACACUAAUUUAUCGGUGCAAUUGUCGAAUCUUAUGCAAAUCCACCUUCGGUUUUCCUCAAACGACGUUUAAUUGCCAGCAAUUAUGUUCUCUCAAAUUACGCCGUCAACUUUUUUCCGAUGAAAAGAUACCGGUUAGUUAAACCUCGUCGUCGCAUUUCAUUCGAAGAAUGUUCGUAUACCGAUUACAGUUAAUUCAUUUUUCUCUGAUCUGUAUAAAAUUUUGUAGAUUAAGCAUUGGAAAUCGUUGGAGUCGCAUCGUCGAUUUUACGGAUUUAUUAAUACGCGAAUUACUAAUUACCAAUCUUUAAAGAUAUAUAAUACACACGUGACAAUUAAAAGAUUUGUGACGGUUUGUGAUUGUCACUGAAUAAAUAAAUGUAUUUCAUAGUUUCAACAAACAUAGACAGAAUUUGACCGGAUAAUAGAUGUAUGCAAUGUAUUCGAGUUACGUUAAAAGUAGCACUGUCACUAGAUUUCAAAUGCGUUUGAAAGCUAAAAUACCUACGAAUGUGAGUAAAUAUUAUAUGGAUCCAUUAAACCUAUACUAUAUACGUUUAUAAAAUUAACAUUGGUUCAAGAUAUAAUUUAUAUUCAUCUGUUCCUUGACAUCUGUCCAUUACAAUGGCGAGACUAAUCGAGAAACACGAAACACGCUUGUUCU
Long non-coding RNA from Bombus impatiens (common eastern bumble bee), 1290 nucleotides. RefSeq lists it as uncharacterized. The transcript is spliced from 4 exons. The record is from RefSeq and is a predicted model, not a curated record. Lineage: Eukaryota; Metazoa; Arthropoda; Insecta; Hymenoptera; Apidae.